UACGUAGGGGCCUAGCGUUGUCCGGAUUUAUUGGGCGUAAAGAGCUCGUAGGCGGUUCGGUAAGUCAGGUGUGAAAUCUCCACGCUCAACGUGGAGGCGCCACCUGAAACUGCCGUGACUCGAGUCCGGUAGGGGAGUGUGGAAUUCCCGGUGUAGUGGUGGAAUGCGUAGAUAUCGGGAGGAACACCAGUGGCGAAGGCGGCUCUCUGGACCUCUGCUGACGCUGAGGCGCGAAAGCGUGGGGAGCGAUCCGG
RNAcentral lists this ribosomal RNA (254 nucleotides) under uncultured bacterium. RNAcentral describes it as "partial 16S ribosomal RNA". It matches the Rfam family "Bacterial small subunit ribosomal RNA", at positions 524 to 776 of the family's 1533-position model. The record is from RNAcentral.